RNAcentral lists this ribosomal RNA (401 nucleotides) under uncultured bacterium. RNAcentral's name for it is "bacterial SSU rRNA". It matches the Rfam family "Bacterial small subunit ribosomal RNA", at positions 355 to 773 of the family's 1533-position model. The record is from RNAcentral.
UCGGGAAUUUUGGGCAAUGGGCGAAAGCCUGACCCAGCAACGCCGCGUGAGGGAUGAAGUAUUUCGGUAUGUAAACCUCGAAAGAAUGGGAAGAAUAAAUGACGGUACCAUUUAUAAGCUCCGGCUAACUACGUGCCAGCAGCCGCGGUAAUACGUAGGGAGCAAGCAUUGUUCGGAUUUACUGGGCGUAAAGGGCGCGUAGGCGGCGCGGUAAGUCACUUGUGAAAUCUCUGAGCUUAACUCAGAACGGCCAAGUGAUACUGCUGUGCUAGAGUGCGGAAGAGGCAACCGGAAUUCUUGGUGUAGCGGUGAAAUGCGUAGAUAUCAAGAGGAACACCUGAGGCGAAGGCGGGUUGCUGGGCCGACACUGACGCUGAUGCGCGAAAGCCAGGGGAGCAAAC